This 1378-nucleotide long non-coding RNA is filed under the name Bemisia tabaci. RNAcentral describes it as "lncRNA ENSSSA3NGG008710". The record is from RNAcentral. Lineage: Eukaryota; Metazoa; Arthropoda; Insecta; Hemiptera; Aleyrodidae.
CUGACAUGUUUUUAUGAUGAUCUCAGUAUGGAAGUUGGUCUCUUUAUCUCUUUGUUUGAAUUAAUUGACUCUUUUUGGGAAUGUCAAAGUUUUUCUUAUCUGAGUGGCUGCUCAUUUACCCGAGGUUAUUUAUUUUAUACCUGGCAUUUUACUAAUGAUGUGCAAUUUUAUUUCCAGACAUUCUGCUGUCUUCCAGCUUACAUAAUUCGGGUGGAGAUGAAAAUUCUGGGCUGUCCCAGUCAACUUCCAAUCCUAAACCAGACGUUCCUCCUGAAAAUCAUAACUUCGGACGACAAAUUCAGAUUACCCCAGCAACAAAUGCCCUGGAGGAUCAUCCGGGUAGUGGAUCCGGGGAUAGCGUUAAAACCAUCACAGCCGACAACUUGCUCAAAAAAGAGGUAUGUUUUUUAAUGUUCAAACUCCUUACACUCACUCUCCUCAAUUCAGGUUUCCCCAUAAGUAUAGGAUAUUAUUCCUAGACGCUUUAUUUUUGUUUGUGAGACUAUGAUUGAUAAAAGAAAUAAAACAACUAGUUCUUCCAGUUUUUUCCAAAAAAAAAGUAAUAGAGGUCUGAACUAAAAUUUAAUUUUGAAAAAUGGUUAUCUCCUUGCAAAUAGAUAAAGGAGAGGUUGUAUUUCUAAAAUUUGGAUGAAUAAGGUUUAUGCAAUCAUACUCAGCAAUUUUUUUUUAUAUAUAUAUGUUUGAUUAUUAUACGACACCUUUUCAAACCGUGAGUGAAUUGCUCUGUUACCAGGCACCUUCGUGGCAUGAAACCAAAUCGUCCAUUGAAUAUCUUGCGAGGCGCAAACGAAAGCGAAGGAACUCUGAAGAAUGGAGUGACAGGGAUGUGUUUGCCACCUCUGUGCAAAAUUCAGAUGCUGACCAAAAUGGGGUCCUGAUGCAAGUGAGAGGGCCUUCAUUUAAUGAAACCAUCGGUCUGGACUAUUGUAAUGUGGUCAGUCCUGAAUAUAACCUUUGUCUGGGAAGAUCAGCGACAAACCUGAGCUAUGCAAUUCCUCUCAGUAAAUACCUUGCUGAUCCUGUCAUCUCGGUUGUCUUCAAAUUUACGAAAGAUUUCCAAGGAGAGGAAACAGUGCGCUUUUGUCCGGUGCCAGGAGGACGGCAAGAGUGUCCUGUGAGCAGACCAGAACACCUAUAUAACUCUUCCCAGGCUGAUAAGCUGGUCGAACAAGAUGCAAGCGGUCAGAUCUUCAACAUAGAUAUCUCGAGUUCCCUCUUCGCAACUUUUAGAUACAGGAUUCCGAGGAUACAAACAAAUCAUAAUGUGUGCAACAUACCUGGCAAUAAGCUAGGAGCUUCUUUCCUGGAGUAUAACAUCUAUUUCUAUCGAGACUGUGAAGGUUGAACCUCUUCCAAU